Molecule: unclassified non-coding RNA, 326 nt
Filed under: Polyporaceae sp.
Lineage: Eukaryota; Fungi; Basidiomycota; Agaricomycetes; Polyporales; Polyporaceae
Description: partial contains 5.8S ribosomal RNA, internal transcribed spacer 2, and large subunit ribosomal RNA
Rfam family: 5.8S ribosomal RNA (bases 1-71)
Source: RNAcentral
GUGAAUCAUCGAAUCUUUGAACGCACCUUGCGCUCCUUGGUAUUCCGAGGAGCAUGCCUGUUUGAGUGUCAUGAAAUCUUCAACUUACAAGCCUUUGCGGGUUUUGUAGGCUUGGACUUGGAGGCUUUUGUCGGCCGUUGUAGGUCGGCUCCUCUUAAAUGCAUUAGCUUGAUUUCUUGCGGAUCGGCUGUCGGUGUGAUAAUGUCUACGCCGCGACCGUGAAGCGUUUGGCGAGCUUCUAAUCGUCUUAUGGACAAUGUUAUGACCUCUGACCUCAAAUCAGGUAGGACUACCCGCUGAACUUAAGCAUAUCAAUAAGCGGAGGA